UCCUCGGUAGUACUUAUAGUGGUCAGUAUCCCCGACUGUCACGCGCGGGAGACCGGGGUUCGAUUCCCCGCCGGGGGU
Non-coding RNA from Trichonephila inaurata madagascariensis, 78 nucleotides. The record is from the annotation of a GenBank genome assembly. NCBI's taxonomy places the organism in Eukaryota, Metazoa, Arthropoda, Arachnida, Araneae, Nephilidae.